GGGAUUACAGGUGCCCACCACCUCGCCUGGCUAAUUUUUUAUAUUCUUAGUUGAGACAGGAUUUCAACAUGUUGGCCAGGCUGGUCUCUAACUCCUGACUUCAAGUGAUCCACUGGCCUUGGCCUCCCAGAGUGCUGGGAUUACAGGCGUCAGCCACCAUGCCUGGCCUUUAAUGCCGAUCUUUAGUAGAGGUACUUAACAUUAGUAUUCUCUACUUAUAUUAGCAUGAAGAAGAUAAGUCAGUGUAGCUGCUUGGGGGACUUAUAGUGGCUGAAAAACAGCUGAGUAUAAUUAUGACUCAUGUACAUUUCUUUCAGGGGUGGCCUAUGUAUGCACAGCUACUGAUUGAUUUAUUCAAAUAUUUAGCGCCUUUCCUUAGAAAUGUGGAACUCACCAAACCUAUGCAAAUCCUCUACAAGGGCACUUUAAGAGUGCUGCUGGUUCUUUUGCAUGA
RNAcentral lists this small RNA (454 nucleotides) under Pongo abelii (Sumatran orangutan). Its description in RNAcentral is "retained intron". Lineage: Eukaryota; Metazoa; Chordata; Mammalia; Primates; Hominidae. The record is from RNAcentral.